This 80-nucleotide ribosomal RNA is filed under the name Escherichia coli. RNAcentral's name for it is "partial 16S ribosomal RNA". The stretch from base 1 to 67 matches the Rfam family "Bacterial small subunit ribosomal RNA", at positions 1467 to 1533 of the family's 1533-position model. The record is from RNAcentral. Lineage: Bacteria; Pseudomonadati; Pseudomonadota; Gammaproteobacteria; Enterobacterales; Enterobacteriaceae.
ACUGGUAACUGGGAUGAAGGCGUAACAAGGUAGCCGUAGGGGAACCUGCGGCUGGAUCACCUCCUUUCUAUGGAGCAAGU